This 270-nucleotide ribosomal RNA is filed under the name uncultured prokaryote. Its description in RNAcentral is "partial 16S ribosomal RNA". It matches the Rfam family "Bacterial small subunit ribosomal RNA", at positions 524 to 792 of the family's 1533-position model. The record is from RNAcentral.
UACGUAGGUGGCGAGCGUUGUCCGGAUUUACUGGGCGUAAAGGGAGCGUAGGCGGACUUUUAAGUGAGAUGUGAAAUACCCGGGCUCAACUUGGGUGCUGCAUUUCAAACUGGAAGUCUAGAGUGCAGGAGAGGAGAAUGGAAUUCCUAGUGUAGCGGUAAAAAUGCGUAGAGAUUAGGAAGAACACCAGUGGCGAAGGCGAUUCUCUGGACUGUAACUGACGCUGAGGCUCGAAAGCGUGGGGAGCAAACAGGAUUAGAUACCCUGGUA